Molecule: ribosomal RNA, 253 nt
Filed under: uncultured bacterium
Lineage: Bacteria
Description: partial 16S ribosomal RNA
Rfam family: Bacterial small subunit ribosomal RNA
Source: RNAcentral
UACAGAGGUCUCAAGCGUUGUUCGGAUUCAUUGGGCGUAAAGGGCGCGUAGGCGGUGCCACAAGUCACCUGUGAAAUCUCCGGGCUUAACUCGGAGCCUGCAGGCGAAACUGUGGUGCUGGAGUGUGGGAGAGGUGCGUGGAAUUCCCGGUGUAGCGGUGAAAUGCGUAGAUAUCGGGAGGAGCACCUGUGGCGAAAGCGGCGCACUGGACCAUAACUGACGCUGAUGCGCGAAAGCUAGGGGAGCAAACAGG